GCACCUAUAGCUCAGUGGUAGAGCGUUUGCUUUGAACAGAGAAGGUCCCAGUUUCAAUCCCUGGUAUCUCCA
Molecule: non-coding RNA, 72 nt
Organism: Podarcis lilfordi (Lilford's wall lizard)
Lineage: Eukaryota; Metazoa; Chordata; Lepidosauria; Squamata; Lacertidae
Source: the annotation of a GenBank genome assembly